This 468-nucleotide ribosomal RNA is filed under the name uncultured bacterium. RNAcentral describes it as "partial 16S ribosomal RNA". It matches the Rfam family "Bacterial small subunit ribosomal RNA", at positions 28 to 507 of the family's 1533-position model. The record is from RNAcentral.
GGCGAACGCUGGCGGCGUGCUUAACACAUGCAAGUCGAACGGAAAGGCCCUGCUUUUGUGGGGUGCUCGAGUGGCGAACGGGUGAGUAACACGUGAGUAACCUGCCCUUGACUUUGGGAUAACUUCAGGAAACUGGGGCUAAUACCGGAUAGGAGCUCCUGCUGCAUGGUGGGGUUUGGAAAGUUUCGGCGGUUGGGGAUGGACUCGCGGCUUAUCAGCUUGUUGGUGGGGUAGUGGCUUACCAAGGCUUUGACGGGUAGCCGGCCUGAGAGGGUGACCGGCCACAUUGGGACUGAGAUACGGCCCAGACUCCUACGGGAGGCAGCAGUGGGGAAUAUUGCACAAUGGGCGGAAGCCUGAUGCAGCAACGCCGCGUGCGGGAUGACGGCCUUCGGGUUGUAAACCGCUUUCGCCUGUGACGAAGCGUGAGUGACGGUAAUGGGUAAAGAAGCACCGGCUAACUACGUG